CUCUGUGACUCCUACGGGAGGCAGCAGUGGGGAAUAUUGCACAAUGGGCGCAAGCCUGAUGCAGCCAUGCCGCGUGUAUGAAGAAGGCCUUCGGGUUGUAAAGUACUUUCAGCAGUGAGGAAGGUGGUGUAGUUAAUAGCUGCAUUAUUUGACGUUAGCUGCAGAAGAAGCACCGGCUAACUCCGUGCCAGCAGCCGCGGUAAUACGGAGGGUGCGAGCGUUAAUCGGAAUUACUGGGCGUAAAGCGCAUGCAGGUGGUUUGUUAAGUCAGAUGUGAAAGCCCGGGGCUCAACCUCGGAAUUGCAUUUGAAACUGGCAGACUAGAGUACUGUAGAGGGGGUAGAAUUUCAGGUGUAGCGGUGAAAUGCGUAGAGAUCUGAAGGAAUACCGGUGGCGAAGGCGGCCCCCUGGACAGAUACUGACACUCAGAUGCGAAAGCGUGGGGAGCAAACAGGAUUAGAUACCCUGGUAG
This 472-nucleotide ribosomal RNA is filed under the name uncultured bacterium. RNAcentral describes it as "bacterial SSU rRNA". It matches the Rfam family "Bacterial small subunit ribosomal RNA", at positions 328 to 793 of the family's 1533-position model. The record is from RNAcentral.